Molecule: long non-coding RNA, 2341 nt
Organism: Octopus sinensis (East Asian common octopus)
Lineage: Eukaryota; Metazoa; Mollusca; Cephalopoda; Octopoda; Octopodidae
Exons: 5
Source: RefSeq, a predicted model, not a curated record
AUAUACAUGUAUGUAUAUACAGCUGGAGCUGGUUCUCUAGUCAGCUGUCAUUUAUUUUAGGGGGGGAAACAGCUAACAGCGCUUCCAUACCACACACUAACAUAAAAGUUGUUGGAAAGCUAACACACCUUACUGCCAUUGUCGUCGCCGUGGCUGUCAUCGCCGUUGUCAUUGCAGUUGUCAUCGCCGUUGUCAUCGCCGUUGAUGCAAUCCCGGGCACUAUUAACUCCGUCGUAGUAAUUUUUAUAUAUAUUUUUAUAUUGUUUCUUUCUUCUUCUUAAAUCUUCAUUACUCUCCAUAACGACGUCCACAUCGUCGUCAUCAUCAUCGUCGUCGUCGUCGUCAUCGUCGUCGUCAUCGUCGUCGUCGUCGUCGUCGUCCUCAUCGUCCUCAUCGUCGACAUCAUCAUCGCCGUCGUCAUCGUCGACAUCAUCGUCGUCGUCGUCGUCGUCAUCGUCUUCUUCAUCCUCCUCGUCUUCAUCAUCAUCUUCAUCAUCAUCAUCAUCAUCAUCAUCAUCGCCGUCAUCGUCUUCGUCGUCAUCGUUUUCAUCAACGCAGUGGUCAUCUGCUCGCCGUUGCCCCUUUCAUCGUCGUUGUCAUUGCCGUUAUCAUCAUCAUUUACGCCGUCAUCGUUGUCAACAUCGCCGUCAUCAUCACCAACACUAUCGUUGCUGUCAUCAUUGUCGCUGUCAUCUUCAGUCUCUUCCGCAAUAACAACAACAACAACAACAACGACAACGACGAUAAUAACAAUGACAAUAACUACAACGACGACGGUGGCGGCGGCGACGACAAUAACGACGAGAAGCAAACGACGAUGAAAACAGCAAGAACAACAUUUGCGAUGACAAUAACAUCACCGACGACAAGUGGUGACAAGGAAAACGUUUGAAAUGCGGGAAGACGUAAAACAAGAAGAAGAAGAACAAGAACAACAACAACAACAACAGAUGAAUUAUAAGAAGAAUUAACGGCAUCAACAUUAUUAACGUUAUGAAAAUUAUCAGCAAUUAAUAAGAGAGAAAAGGAAGGAAGGAAGGAAGGAAGGAAGGAGGAAGGAAAGAAGUGAAACGAGAAAGGAGUGACAGAGGAAGAGAAAACGAGAAAAAGAAAAAAAAAAAAAAAAGGAAAAGAAAAAAAGAACUUGGAAAAUGUGACAAGCAUGAUGGAGAGAGGGAUAGGGAGAGAAGAAGAGAGAUGGAUAAAGAGAGAGAGAAAGAAAGAGAGAGAGAGAGAGAGUGGAGGCAGAUGAGGUAAGAUGAAAGAGAUCAGAUGAAAGAAGAAGAAGAAAAAAAAAAGGAAUACGGGAGAGAUUGAAAGUGUAAAAAAGUGUGGUGUUUAAGGGAUAGAGAGAAGGAGAGAAAGAGAGAAAGAUUUUUUUAAAAAAAGAAGAAGAAAUAGCUUAAGCAAAAAUUUUAAAAAAAUAAAAAAACCAAUUUACUAAUACUAACAACACAAACAGCACUUAUAUCAACAAUAGCAUAUCAACAACAACUACAACAACAACAACAACAACAAUAGCAGAAGGACAAGAAAAGCACAUGAUUAAAACUACAGGUUUUUAUUUGGGUGUCGUAACUGAAUAUAUCAAUACUAGCGCCAUUUUAACGAGCAUCUAUCCUCGCUCCUCUAUAUCAAGAAACCAUCUUAAAUUUCUAGUAGACACUGUAAAAUAUAAAACAUAAAAAAAUGUGGAAAGCCGCUCUGUUGACUUCCAGCCCAAGGUGAAGCAGUAUGGAACAAUGCUGAAAUGUACCACAGCCUUCUUAUCGACACGAUAUUUCAAAAGAAAAUAUUUCCGCUCAGCAUAAACUUUUUGAAUCCAAAAACUCUUGGAGAGGGAAGUGAACACGUCUAAUCAUACCCAACACAAAAUCAACAGCAGCAAACGACAACUUUUACAACAGUGAUAACAACUAAACUACAUUUGAACAAAUGAGGAUAGAAUAAAAUGCGAAUUUCUUUGAAAACAUAGCAACGUAGAAAUCCACAAAACAGAGUAGACAUUGGAAAAGAGCUGAGAGUUGAGCAUUCAAUAGUAAGCACACAUUAGAUGUGAUAGCAUAGAAUUGAAUUCCAGUUUCCUUAACUAAAUUCAAGAAGGCUAAAACGUUCGAGUGAAUUGCUUGAAACACGUUGAAUUUAUGCUACGAGGUUCAAAAAAUUCCUCUGGCUACCAUAGUAUGCCUUCAGGAAAUGUAGUAUCUGGACAUUUUUUCUCGCGUUUGGCAAUGAUGUGGAUAGACUCAACACCACAGUUUCGAAGAAAAUACUCCGGUUGCCUUGCAGCAUUUUUCUAAACUGAAUCUGAUAUCAAGCUCUCUCUUGUAAGUCCACAUAC